RNAcentral lists this ribosomal RNA (432 nucleotides) under uncultured bacterium. RNAcentral's name for it is "partial 16S ribosomal RNA". It matches the Rfam family "Bacterial small subunit ribosomal RNA", at positions 338 to 795 of the family's 1533-position model. The record is from RNAcentral.
CCUACGGGUGGCAGCAGUCGAGAAUUUUUCUCAAUGGGGGAAACCCUGAAGGAGCGACGCCGCGUGGAGGAUGAAGGUCUUCGGAUUGUAAACUCCUGUCAUUAGAGAACUAGUAUCUGAAGAGGAAGAGACGGCUAACUCUGUGCCAGCAGCCGCGGUAAUACAGAGGUCUCGAGCGUUGUUCGGAUUCAUUGGGCGUAAAGGGUGCGUAGGUGGUGGGGUAAGUCGGAUGUGAAAUCCCGGGGCUCAACCCUGGAACUGCAUUCGAUACUGCCUUACUUGAGUACUGGAGAGGAGAUUGGAAUUUACGGUGUAGCAGUGAAAUGCGUAGAUAUCGUAAGGAAGACCAGUGGCGAAGGCGGAUCUCUGGACAGUACUGACACUGAGGCACGAAGGCCAGGGGAGCAAACGGGAUUAGAUACCCUUGUAGUC